AUCGAAUAAAUCACUGAUAAUUAACGGCCUCUCUGAGAUCCUUGCACUAACAAAACAAGAAAACCAUGCACUUAAUACCGUUAAUCUAACACAAGAACAUUACAGGAAAGAUUAAAAGACGCAGAAGGAACUCGGCAAACUACGAACCCCGCCUGUUUACCAAAAACAUCGCCUCUUGCUAACAAACAUGUAUAAGAGGUCCAGCCUGCCCAGUGACUAUAUGUUCAACGGCCGCGGUAUUCUGACCGUGCAAAGGUAGCGUAAUCACUUGUCUUUUAAAUAAAGACUGGUAUGAACGGCACCACGAAGGUUCAACUGUCUCCUGCAUCCAAUCCAUUAAACUGACCUCCCCGUGCAGAGGCGGGGAUUUAACCAUAAGACGAGAAGACCCUAUGGAGCUUUAAACUAAAGGCAACUGCCAACUACAACCUUACCCAUAAGGAAAUAAUAAUUAAACAAGCAGAAAUUGACCUAAAGUUUUCGGUUGGGGCGACCACGGAGAAUAAAAAAUCCUCCUUGAAGAAUAGGGCCUACUACCCUUAAC
RNAcentral lists this ribosomal RNA (544 nucleotides) under Xenopus laevis (African clawed frog). RNAcentral describes it as "partial 16S ribosomal RNA". It matches the Rfam family "Bacterial large subunit ribosomal RNA", at positions 1565 to 2496 of the family's 2925-position model. Lineage: Eukaryota; Metazoa; Chordata; Amphibia; Anura; Pipidae. The record is from RNAcentral.